GAUGAACGCUGGCGGCGUGCCUUACACAUGCAAGUCGAGCGAGGGCUUUUUGUUGGGGCAACCCAACGAGAAGUUCCUAGCGGCAAACGGGUGAGUAAUGGAUGGGUAACCUACCCUAAAGACGGGGAUAGCCUUCUGAAAGGAAGGGUAAUACCCGAUAAUGUUAACAGAUUUUUGUCUGUUAAAGAAAGAUGGCCUCUAUUUUAUGCUAUCACUUCUGGAGGGGCUCAUCUCCUAUCAGCUUGUUGGCGAGGUAAUGGCUCACCAAGGCUACGACGGGUAGCUGGUCUGAGAGGAUGGUCAGCCACAUUGGGACUGAGACACGGCCAGACUCCUACGGGAGGCAGCAGUGGGGAAUAUUGGUCAAUGGGCGAAAGCCUGAACCAGCGACGCCGCGUGGAGGAUGAAGGCCGCAAGGUCGUAAACUCCUUUUAUAAAGGAAAAAGGGAUAGAUUUCAAAUAGGAAUUUAUUCUUGAUGGUACUUUAUGAAUAAGCCCCAGCCAACUACGUGCCAGCAGCUGCGGUAAUACGUAGGGGGCAAGCGUUAUCCGGAAUUACUGGGUGUAAAGGGUAUGCAGGCGGAUCAAUAAGUUGGGUGUAAAAACUCAGGGCUUAACUCUGAGCUCGCAUUCAAAACUGUUGAUCUGGAGAGCAAGAGAGGGAGGUGGAAUUCCAGGUGUAGCGGUAAAAUGCUUAGAUAUUUGGAAGAACACCAGUGGCGAAAGCGGCUUUCUAGCUUGUCUCUGACGCUCAUAUACGAAAGCUAGGGUAGCAAACAGGAUUAGAUACCCUGGUAGUCCUAGCCGUAAACGAUGGAUGCUUGGUGUUGGGAAGGUUACUUCUCAGUGCCGGAGCUAACGCGUUAAGCAUCCCACCUGGGAAGUACGACCGCAAGGUUAAAACUCAAAGGAAUUGACG
This 919-nucleotide ribosomal RNA is filed under the name uncultured bacterium. RNAcentral's name for it is "bacterial SSU rRNA". It matches the Rfam family "Bacterial small subunit ribosomal RNA", at positions 28 to 915 of the family's 1533-position model. The record is from RNAcentral.